Molecule: long non-coding RNA, 778 nt
Organism: Budorcas taxicolor (takin)
Lineage: Eukaryota; Metazoa; Chordata; Mammalia; Artiodactyla; Bovidae
Exons: 3
Source: RefSeq, a predicted model, not a curated record
CCAGGGAUCGAACCCGGGUCUCCUGCAUUGUAGGCAGACGCUCUACCGUCUGAGCCACCAGGGAAGUCUUUUAGUAGGAGAUGGUUGCCUCCAAGUUAGAAGGCCUUGCUGUUAGGCCUGGCCCUGGCCCUGCCCAGCUCUGGUUAAACUGCAGGACGAACCCAGCUGGACCUCAUGUCUCUCUGGACUCUGACCUCACACUCUGAUUCCGAUCUUCACCUAGAGCGAGCCGGGAUGACCCAGCUCAUCUCUGCGUCUUGCAGGGUCUUCUCCUCUCAACCCUGCUGCAGGACUAGCCCAUGGGGGUCACACGGCCCCUCACUUACAGCGGUAAACAGGAACGGUAAUAAUGUCACCUCCCUCCUGGGAACUGGGGGAGCUGACUGGCAUUGAGGACUGAGCCUGGCACCCGGCACGCAGGAAGCCCUGCUCACCAGCUGUCCCCUCCACCCCCGUCACCACCUGGGGUGCAGCCUGCUCAGAGCCACCAGGUUGUACAUCCUCACAGUGAGGAAGGAGGGAUGCAGUUCGGCUCUGCCCAGCGUCCAGGGAAAAAUACUUCAACUGUCAAUGGGUGACACCACCUGUGAGUUAAACGCCUGAGAAAUGCCAUUAGGAAUUACAAAUCCACGUAGAUCCCGCUGCCCGGAGGACCUCGGGCCUGGAGCAUGCCUGGUUUCGGUGUUUCUCCUGAUCAUUGACUUUUUAAUAUUCAGAAACCACUUCAGAGCUCAGGUGGGGGGAGUGUUUCCUAGAAGCUGUGUAGAAAUGAGCAGCC